ACAUUGUUGCUACUUAGCAAAUACAUGACUUGUUGUAAUCGAAUAAUAAGAGGGUUAGGUAAUGUACCGUAUCAGUGAAAAGACUUACUUGUAAAACUGUGAAAAUAAGCUUUGUAAAUUAUAAGCUUGAUAAAGCUAAGCUACAUUUCAGGAGCUGAAUUGCAUUUGAAGCCCAGAACAAAAAUAAAGCAAAAAAGUGGGGGGGGGGGGUUGGACACCUCCAGCAUGUUCACCAUCAGAUGAUUUUGAUUUGUUUGGUACACAUAUGACAUGCCUGCUGGAUCAGGCCAAUGGCCCAACUAGUCCAGAAUCCAGUUCUCACAGUGGCCAAUUAGAUGCCUAUGGGCAGCCUGUAAGCCCGUUUGGGGAGAUCAUUUUGGAGAGAUCUUUUUGUUUUUUUGCCACCUUGAACAAUUUGGUAUCAUUACCAAACUUUGUUACCUCACUUCUUACUUCCAACUCUAAAUCAUUUAUAAGCAAGUUAAAAAGCACAGAUUCCCAUAUUGAGCAGGGACAUGACUUUCUGCAUCCCGUCCACUGAGAGAACUGCCCAUUUGUUGCUACUGUCUACUAAGCUUAUUCAGGAGUCUUUGGUGGUGUACUUGGUCAGAAUCUUUUUGAAAGCUUAAUUACAAAAGUUAGCUGAAUCACCUUUAUCUAUAUGCUUGCUGCAACUUUCAAAUACAGUGGUACCUCGAUUUACAAACACAAUUGGUUCCGGAAGUCUGUACUUAAUCUGAAGCGUACUUAAAGUAAUGGAAAGUGGAUUAAUCCGUCCCAGACGGUCCGUGGAGUACUUAAACUGCAGCGUACUUAACCUGAAGCAAACUUUCCCAUUGAAAGUAAUGGAAAGUGGAUUAAUGGGUUCCAGACAGGUCCACGGAGUUAUAAAAGAAAACAGGCACAUACAAACAAGGAAAAUUGAAUGGAACCAAGACCCUGCUAUAGUACUUUACAGUUCUGGAACUCCCCCUCUCAAAAAGUAAAUAAAUAAAAGCAUAAGCCUGGAAAACUACCUCUCAUAAGAGCUUAUUACAUCUGUAGUAGAACUGUGCGUGCUUAUAAUUUAUGCAGCAUUAUUUAGGGUAUGGAGUGCAAUGUAUUUCUUACGUCAUUUGUUCACACAACUAUGUGAUUUCGGGGAGUGCGGGGGAAGGACUGCCAAAAUGAAGGAGUAGUUAUAGGAGGCCUCGAGAAUGAUUGCAGAGUAUGUGGUUCAUUUUCAAUGGGCUUAUUAUCUACCAAGUCUUAAACAGCUUGAACCUUGAGAAUUAUCCCGACUGAAAGUCACAAUGACAAAGGCUGGUGCACAGAGAGACAGAGAGCCUUGGUGGUUGCUGAACAAAUGUUAAGCUUUUUCUCACCAAACACUUAUAGUAGUUGGGGUUAGGGACAAGUGAAAUGUUAUAUUGCAAGCCACAUUUUAUCUUUUCUUUAUUUAUUCAAAAGCAUCUUCCGAGAUUUUAGUGAAAGUAUAGCAGGCAUGGGAGAGAGGCUCCUUAACUGUUUCUGUCUUCUUCAUCAAGCUGCUUUUCUCCCUGCAAAUGGAAGAUGUGUCAUUCUGAGCAGAAAAAUAGUCUGAAGGCAAGGGACAGUGCUAAAAACUUGCAGUCUUAUUUAAGAGAAUAAAAUGUUGGAGGAAAAAAUACAUACACGUGUCUGCAUGUAAUAUGCAGACUGGCCCUUAAGGUUUGAACACAGUUUUAUGGUAUUAUAUGUUAAGGAAGGAAAACCCUGUAGUGGCAUGAUUUUAAAUAAUUUCAAAUCAUUCUGCUGGCACUGUGUUAGCAAGUUAGUUGAAGUGAUUGCUCAAUCAACGAGCAGGGGAGGGGGAAACAUGCACAUGCAAAUCCAUCUGGAAAAUAGGUUCACCUGAGUGGGUCCAUUCCCUUUUUAAAUAAGGAGAAAUGAACAUGUGGGGGUGGAAGUCGACAGUAGAGAAAAGGUAAAGGCCCAAGGGCAUAACAUGCUGCACCCACUCCUGACUCAACAUCUGCACGGGCUGCUGCCAAAUCCUGGAGAUAAUGUAACAUUUGACAGAACGUAUUUGUGCUGUAAAGAGAAGUGGUGUAAUUUAAUUCUACUUUAGCUUGGACAGCUCUUAGCAUUAUUACACUGGGGUUCUACAUUGAGUCAAGUAAAAAAAAACCUAGCUUACACUAGUGUAGCUUACACUGAUGCAACUCAGAGCACACACAGAACAUACAAAAGCCAAUCAACCUAUUUCAGAUCCCUUCAGUCAGCUUUAAAGAGCACAGCUAAAACUACUACAAAAGAGCUUAAAGCAUUUAAUAAUGAAUAAUCUGAUUUGGUAGACAGAGUGCCUGAAGAACUAUGGAUGGAGGCUUGCAACAUUAUCAGGAGGCAGCAACGAAAACCAUCCUAAUGAAAAGGAAAUGCAAGAAAGCAAAGUGGCUGUCCAAUGAGGCCUUACAAAUAGCGGGGGAGAGAAGGCAAGCAAAAUGCGAGGGAGAUAGUGAAAGAUACAGGAAAGUGAAUGCGGAUUUCCAAAAAAACAGCAAGGAGAGACAAGAGGGCCUUCUUAAACGAGCAAUGCAAAGAAAGAGAGGAAAACAAUAGAAUGGGGAAAACCAGAGAUCUGUUCAAGAAAAUGGAUAUUCCAGCUGAACUAUUUAAAAUAUGAUGCUGUUAAGGUGCUACACUCAAUGUGCCAGCAAGUUUUGAAAACUCAGCAAUGGUCAGAGGAUUGGAGAAGAUCAGUCUACAUCCCAUUCCCAAAGAAGGGCAGUGCCAAAGAAUGCUCCAACUACCACACAAUUGCGCUCAUUUCACACGCUAGCCCUCGGGCAGCGUCACUGUAGAAAACAGGCUAUGCUUAGAAUUCUACAAGACAGUCCUAAGCAGUAUGUGGACUGAGAACUCCCAGAAGUGCAAGCUGGAUUUCGAAGGGGCAGAGGAACCAGAGACCAAAUUGCAAACAUGCACUGGAUUAUGGAGAAAGCUAGAGAGUUCCAGAAAAAAAAUCUAUUUCUGCUUCAUUGACUACACAAAAGCAUUUUACUGUGUCAACCACAGCAAACUAUGGCAGGUUCUUAAACAAAUGGGAGUUUUAUAUCCUCACAUUUAAGUACGCCUGAGUAGCUAAUAUAUGUAGAAAGCACUAUAUUAUUUUUGGAUGAUCCCAUUUCACUUAGAAAUUGAUAGGCAUUCACAACCACUGAAGGUCUCUAAUAGAAGGAAUUCUUUUUUAAAAAAUAAAAUUGAAAACCAAGGUGUUCGAAAUUGUUAAGACUGGUUCUACAAUGCAAUUUUGUUGCUCCUCACAAGAAUAUACACUGGUUUGAUAUACACUGGUUUGAUAUACACUGGUUUUAUUCAUCUUGAACAGCCAUCCCCAAACUUCGGCCCUCCAGAUGUUUUGGACUACAAUUCCCAUCUUCCCUGACCACUGGUCCUGUUAGCUAGGGAUCAUGGGAGUUGUAGGCCAAAACAUCUGGAGGGCCGCAGUUUGGGGAUGCCUGAUCUUGAAGCUACAGACACAGUAGGAAUAGCCCUUGCAUCUGCAUGCUCUUCCUCACUAAUUAGAAAUGAGGUUGAGGGUUCAUUAACAGUCAUUCUGAUACCUAUAUAUAUAUAUAUAUAUAUAUAUAUAUAUAUAUAUAUAUAUAUAUAUAAACUAAAAUAGAGAGAGGGGUAUUCACCAUUUACUGACAGUAAUAAGAAUUUAAAUAAAUAGAUUAGUAAGUUUGCUGAAGGUCUAAAAAUGCAUUUUAGCAGAUUAAGAUAUUUUACUUCAUUUAUCUGCAUCCAAUUCUUUGAAGUUUUUAGGGAAGUGCUUCAAAAGAGGUCAGUGACAUUUUCUGCUAGAAACUAAACCUCCUCUUAUUCUAACUUUGAGGGUUGGAAUAAAGUGCUUGUUUUAUUGGUGUGUGUGUGUGUGUGUGUGUGUGUGUGUGUGUGUGUGUGUGUGUGUUGUUUGUACAGUAAUUCACAUGCUGUCUACUUGCAAUGGCUUUUAAGUACACCUUGUUAUUUACAUUAUUUCAGAAUGCUUGAGAUUAGUUGGUGUAGCAAAAAAAUAAGGGGGGGAAACCAACGUUGACUUCUAUUGGCAGAGCUUGAGAUGCAAGAUGGAUCUGUCACUCUGCUCCUACUCAGUCUCACUUAGGAUUGUUCUGUCCAUCAUGUUGAUUAACUUUAGCCUCUAGUUCUACCAGACCAACACGAAACUCACACUCCUCCUUCCUAUCUUUUUGUGAAGCUGCCAUUUGGUCUCAGGUGCUGAAGUGGCUUCAGCUAGCCUUGCUGCUAGCCUCUCACAAACACAAAGGUAUUAUUGUCUGCUGAGAAGCAUCCUUAUCCAUGUUCAGUGCUUAACUUGAGGAUAACUUCAGUGCUUAACUGGGUAUCUGAAGCAUGCACACGAAAUCUCAUACCUAUGACAAACCUAGUUGGUCUCUAAGGUGCUACUGGAAGGAUUUUUUUAUUUUGUUUUGAGGAGAAGGUCAUUCAUGUAUUUUUUUUCAUCCUUUUUGCUAAUUAUUGCUCUGGAUAGCUAACCAUACAACUUUUUUCUUAGUCUAAGAACAUCAUUUCUGUUUCUCCUUACUCCACUGCAUUUCUCUGAAGUGUGUUUGGCAGUGGCUUCAGUUGCUAUCUCCAUGGAGGAGCCUAGAAUACAAAAGCACUCAAAUACUAGUUUAUCACUCAGCUUAAUCUCCUCUCCAUAAAAGUUACUUGAGAGGGGAAAGGGAAAAUAUCAUAAAUAUCAUUUGAACAAUGGCUCUUGACUACUGCUGAUGUUGUAGUAUAAAUAGUUAUGUAGCUGUAGUUUCUCUAACUCUGAGCCACAUGGAAAAAUUAAAUUGCAUCUGUGGUUGGAGUGCACUGAGGAAAAAAUACUUUAAAAACCGUACAGCACUCUCCAAGGAUUUUGCAGCAUGAACUAUAUAUAUAUUAAAAGCAUUUUUCGUCUCAUGACAUAAAAAACAUUCACGUUGUCAAAACAAAAAGCUUUCUAGUCUGUAAUGACAAUGUAGGAGCCCAUUUUAUAGUAAAUUUUAUAUUCUGACUGGAACAGUAGACUUGAGCCAUCUGCUGAAAAGGGGUACUAUUUCAGCAUGUUCUGUUUCAGAAUGUAUUUUUGCUGCCAUUUUGUACAUUAGAUCUCAAAGAUACUUUAAACACAUUUACCCUUCUUUUUGGAUUGAAUGCAGAUGUCCCAGUUCAGUGAGCAUAAAAAUAUUAUGCACUUGGAUCUGAUUGUAGAGCAGGAGAUACAGUAAGCCAAUGCUUAGGAAGCCUAGGUGUGUCAGCUUUCUUGCAUAACCAGCACAGCUGUCCAGCGUGCUAGAAAGCCAGCCUGGAUCCACUCAACAUCAACCGCACCCUUUCCUCAUUCAGCUCCUCCCCAGAGCCCUUAGGCAAGGAGAAGCCAAUCUGUAGUUUUCCAGUUGUUGGACUACAACUCCCAUCAUCAUUAACCAUUGCCAUGCGGCGGAUAGAAGUUACAGUCCAACAUCGGUUGCCCAUCCCUGCUGUUUUCUUACCUUGUCACUCUGUGUUGCAUGGGUGUGUGUGUGUGUGUGUGUGUGUGUGUAGUGCCUCAGUUAGGAUUCAGUAGAUGUGACACCACUUCCUCAUGCAUCUCUUCUCCCAGCCAGUCUUCUCUGAUUAGCUAAUGAAUCUGAAAGACCCUCCCACACACAGUUUUCCAACUCCUGCUGUACGUAAAGGUUGAACGGUUGAACAAAGAACAUCUUCAGCCCUAUCUUUCUGUGCUUGUUCAUAAUAGCAGAUACACAGGAUGAAACUUUUCAGCUAACCCAAUAAAUUCUUCCAGUAUAUUUUCUCAUGCAUCUGAUAAACCUUUCUCAGGCAUCACAAAUUCACUUGUCAGCCUGAAUUUGUGUUGCCCAUUCUACAAAUCUUAACAACAACAACAAAAAAACAACAUUUUAAAAAUCAAACAAAUUAGAGAACAGCAUAUAGGAUCAGUCACAGGUGACUCUAAUAAGGGCUAAUCCUUGCUGUCACUCAAUUUGUAUUUUUAUAGUUUUAAUUCCCCUGUAUCUGAGAGCUUUUCUAGUUGUUCUGCAGCUGUGCCUUAUGAAAACCCAACUUUCCCACUGAAUUGGAUCUUCUUAGAUGUGUGAAAGAUUUGAAAAGAGCCAUUUUAAAACAGUAUACUCUCUAGUCAAUAUAGGUUUUACUGAUGCUAAAUGUAAAGAUCAAUUUGUCAGUUGUGAACUACGAACAUUUAAACUUGUAUUUUUGUCUCCAUGCCACUAUUAAACAGAACAAGUAUAUUUAAAUCCAGCCAAUUUCUUGUCAUCUUAUGAAUAUAUAUUUAUAUUUAUAUAUUUAUUACAGGUAGGUAGCCAUGUUGGUCUGCCGUCAAAACAAAAUAAAAAAAUUCCUUCCAGUAGCACCUUAGAGACCAACUAAGUUUGUCUCUAAGUUGCUACUGGAAGGAAUUUUUCUAUUUUAUUUUUAUUUUAUAUAUUUAUUAGAAAUCCCCCUGUGAAAUUUUCUCCCAAGUAUGUGUCCAUAGGAGUGCAGUCAUAGAUCCCAGUGUAAAUAAAAUAGUCAAAUUUAACUCCUUUUUUAAUCAGUGGAACAUAAGCUAGCCCCAUUGAUUUCAAUGGGGUCCAGCAGGAGUUAACUUUUUAUUUAAUACGAUUUGUACACUAAUUAGCAAAACCUCUAAGUGGUUUACAUAAACAUCUUUAUCUCCUUUUCUUUAAUCUUCACUUGCUUUUUCUUUUGAGCCCCAUAUCUUAAUGGGAUGAUAAUUUUUUUUGCCUGUCAUUGACAACAGAUGGAUUUUUAAAAAGUAUUAUGAAACGUAAGGAGAGAAUUGCAUACAAUAUUUGGGUUAGUAAUGGAUUGCCAUCUUGAAUCCAUUUGCUGUUACAAUCCUUUUUUUCUUUUUGAUGAAAAGCUGACCUUUCAAUAUAUUUUUUUAAAAAAGCAACCACUUGUAUGUUGGUGUCUGAUAAGUUAUUUGGCAUAUUUGGCAUUCUCCCAAAUUUUGUUUAAGAUUCCUUUUGUUUGCCACAUGGAAUAUAUAGCAGUUAAUAGAAGCUCAGUUUCCAGAGCAUGUAGGUCACCAGUAUUUUUUUCAGUGUUAUGUCCAAAUCAGUCUCUUACACAGAGAUGAAAGAACUGUAUGCAGCCACAACUUUGUUUGGCCAAGACCUGUUCAGUUUAAAAGCAGUUGCUUCACCUGAGAUUGAGCUAUGUGUACUGCUUAUGACAUUCCCAUUUCUUGAUCCAAGCCAAGCGUUGAGAAUGCUCUGACCUAAGCAGAGGUCCACCCCAGAACUUAUUGUAGGCAGGCAGAGGUGGGGGGAAUUCUAGAAGGAAGGAACAUAAGUCUGCAUGUAGCUAUAAGAGGGAAGGAACUCUGAAGUUAGCCUGUUCAUCUACCAAGCAUAGGCUGAGCCAAAAUUCUUAUUUUUAAGGGUCUCAGACUCUGAACCCAGCAUAACCUACCUUCAUAGAUUUUUUAGUUUGAAUACAGUAAUUACUGUUCUUAUCUCUAGUUAAUUUAUGUUAUCUUUAAGGCUUUUGCUAGCAAGUUUGCUUACUGGGGUCAUGUUUUCAUGUUGAAAACUGCUUGCGACAUUUCAAGUCUUUCGAAUGAAGCAGAUUAAAUGAUAUUGCAACUUCUGAAAAUGUAGUAUAAAUAACGGAAACAGCUACAUUUUUGUGGAAAUAAUUACACUGAUAUGUCUCAUAAGCCCUUCCAUUAGAAUCAUAGCUGCCAAGUUUUCCCUUUUCUCGCGAGGAAGCCUAUUCAGCAUAAGGAAAUUUCCCUUAAAAAAGGGAGAACUUGGCAGCUAUGAUUAGAAUAACCCCUUUCACUCAGAAGACACUGAACACAGAAGCUUUAACAGUUUCACACCAGACGUUCCACGAGACAUUUUAAUUAACAAACAUCUUAUUUACAACUGCUGACUAUGUUUGCAUUUAAUUUACAAGAGCUGAUUGAUAUGCAUGUCUGUUCACUAGAGAUACACACUCAGUUACUUCUUAUACCAUCCGUAAUUUAACUUUUCAUCACGCUUUCUAAUACUGAACUAGGUUUUCCUGAAGCGUUAGCUUCAUAGCCAAAACAGGGGAAACAAGUUAGCUAUGGGGAAAACCCUGUGUGUGUGUGUACAUCUUAUUGGUGCUCGUGACAGAACCUCAAGCAUAGCCACACCCUUCUCAGGACCAGCUCUGUCUCGAAAUCUCCCCAUGCUCUUCCGGCUUGGAAAAAGCCAGUGCUUCUUUUUUCAGGGGGUCCUUAAGGGUACGCAGGACUGACACCUUUUUUGUUUUUUGGUUAAAGAGUAUGGCACUUAACUGUAACCACUUCAUGGUGAGUACCAUCACCAUGGUACUCAUUUUUCUAGAAAUGUCCCUCAAUAGCACCAAGCUUAAAGGUGAGGUAAAGUCAGCUCCUCCAGCAGCUCUCAAACUCCAAGAACUUUUCAGAUCAUGAAUCUAUUCCCCUUGCCAUGCUGACAGAAGAUGGGCAGGCCAGGGAGCACCAAUACUAUUGGCUCCCGGUAGGCCUGAGAGGACUCUGGCACUUGGCAUGUUAUAUAAUGUGUUUGCUUUGGGUGACUUGGCAGAAAGGCAGUAUAGAAACUCCAGAAAUAAAUGAAUACAUAAAAUCAUAUUUUUAUAGAAGGAAAAUAAGUUCCUAUAGGGAAGGCUCCAACCUAUAAGAAAAUAAUAUCCCUGCUGGAGGAGGCCAAAGACCCAUGCAGCCCCGCGUCCUGACCUCACAAGCAAAACAUGAGCACAGCAGCAUGCUCCCCAAGGCAACACCCCCCCCAAACCCCAGAAAAUAGAUGCCUAUGCUUCUUUUAUCUCUUUACUAAUACAUCUGCUACAAACAUGAUUCAAAAUCCUCUGCAACAUUUGGUUGCAGGCCCCUACUUGUAUUAGUCGAAACCUAAAUACCAGGCUGACAAAUGCAAUGUAAAAUUUAAAGGGGAAAGUUUCAAAGGGCAAUUGUAGUGGGAGACAGGAAUUCAUUAACAAGUUUGAUUGCAUUUCCUAUAGUUUAUUUAAGAACUGUGUGUUAAAGAGUAAUUUUCCUUCCAUUUGGUUGUGUAUUGUAUUAAGAUGUGUUUAGUUCUCCAGCAGUAAAGAUGUUGUUGCUUUCUCUUCAUCUUUGGUGCUCACCUUGUUAAAUGCAAUGUAUCCUUGGGCUUGGCUGAUUAAAUAAAAUAUACUGAUCUUUCUUUCUGCUGAGCAAGCAUUUCUGGACCAAUGCCUUAAUCCAGCUGUUGUGGUUGUGCACAUAAAGCCUCCCAAGAAAAGCCAUUAGCACUCCCAGAAACUAUUUGGAAGAAGUAAGGGUAUUGGAUUUUAUCUCUAUCCAUGCCCUUUUUCUUGCAAAACACCUGAUUCGUGUGAUUACCCAAAGCACCCAUAGUAGCUUUUUACAUAUUACUAUUAUUUAUUUAUUUAUUCAUUUAUUUAUUUACUGUACUUUAUUAAAUCAUCUUCCACACAAGUCUCAAGUCUAUUGAAUCAUCUUCCACAUAAGUCUCAAGCCAAUUUACAGAAAAACAACUAGAAGUUGCUUUGAAAACAAUAAAGAUGGGUUUAUAAACAAUAUAAAAUAAACACCUAAGGCAAAUACAUUUUAAGCUAACUGAAAAAGGUUGUUGAAACAAAUAAGUUUUCAGUUGUUUUGGGAAAGUACAACUAUAAUCCCAACAGAGAGUAUGUUCCAAAAAAACAGGGCCUGCCACACUGGAAGUCUCUAAAAUGCAACUGAGCAUGCUCAAAAAUGCAAGGUAGCAUGGUCAGCUGCAGCAAUGGAAGCAUGUGCCCUUUUACUGCCCACAGUUGAAAUCAUAUUUCACAGUGCUAGAAUACAAGGGAGAUCUAAAUAGUGAACAAUUAAUCAGACACUGUGAAUGUGUGAUUUAACACCCAAAAGAGUUAUAAAGCCUGUGUCUAGCAAUGGCACAUUUUUGUAUGUUUGGAGAAAACUACAUUGGAACUGAAGAUACCCAGAGAUCCAAAGCAAGAGAGCAAGAUCAGUUUCUCCCCCAGUAGUCAAUACCUUGACCCUGUCUAUAUUUGCUGUCACAAGAAACCUGAGCAGACGUUAUGGGGUCCCACCUCAUUGAUAAAAUGUAGGUGCUUAUAAUGUGGCAAAAAUAUAAAAGGAAACUCCCAAACUAAGGCCCUCUAAGAUGGCCAAAGGAAGGGUGAUAUGUGUCCUUGUAUUUCUACUUUUAUUUGGGAAAAAUAUUUAGGUAUAUCCUAGAUCUAAAAACAUUGCAUUCAAUUUAUUAGCAAUUCUGACCCCUACAUCAAAGACAGAUAACUAAAUGUUAUGCAUAUAGAUAUGGGAUUAUUUUUACUACAUUUUUGUCCUCUGUAUAUCAACAAUUACAACAAUUGCCACAGUAAGUUUGAAACCUCCCAGAAGUCAAUGAUUUGGACUCCAGUUUUGUAAUGCUAUUUGUGUUUCCUUAAAAAUGAAAUAAUUCUGUUUCUGUUUCCCAAUUUGUUUAUAUUUAGAAUUUUAAAGCAAUAUCUAACGCAAGUUGAAAUUAUUAUUAUUACAAAUGAAUUAUGCUGUCAAAUCAAGUAAAACCAGGUUCUAGCAUAUCCAUAAGUAUUGUCAUAUAUUUCAUUUAAUUAUAUAUUUGUUCAGCAAGAAGCGAACCUGAGUGUUUAUUUGGUACAUGUAAAGUAAUUGGGAUGUAAAGAUUAUUGUGAGUUUGUAAGUGGGAUGAGGUCAGUUCUAAAGCUUCCAUAAUUUAUUAUUUGGUGUAUGUAAAAGAAUUUGGGUGUAAAGGUUGUUGUGAGUUUGAAAGCAUGAUGAAAUCGGUUAUAAAGGUUCCAUUAUAAUAAGUGCAAGUUAUAAUUAUACUUGUAGAGGCACAAGGUGAGAGAGCAAUAUAAAAGAUCAGCUUGAUGAAAAGAAUUUAGUGAAGUGAGUGAAUGAUGGAAAGCUCUAUUAGUUUAUUUCAGCAUAGCUGGAAGCUUUAAAUUUAUUAAUUGUGUGUCACAGUUAUAUUAAGGUUUGUUUUGGUUUGAUUUCUAUCCAGAUCUGUUAUAAAGCAGUAUGGCUGGAGUAAAGCAGUACGCUCAGUUGGGAUCAGAGCGCAAAGAAGCUAUGCAUCAUUGCCACCAUUUGCUAUAAUCUGUUAUGUUACUGUUAGAAGGGAAUUAAAAUGUUUCUUUUAUAAUGGCAUAUGAGUACACAAAAGUUUCUAGCUUAUAAAGCAGUGAGUCAUUGAGAGGCGUUCCCCUGCCUCUUGCCGCUCCUGCAAUGGAGAAGGGCAUGAGGUUCUACAAGAAACAUUUUUCAAAGUUCCCUGCCCGCCUGGUGGCAAAGUUGGACAAGGGAAUGCCUCUCACUGACCCAGUGAGGGGAGGCCUUCCACAGAGCUUUGCUGCUGGUCCCUUUCUGCCGCUGGGAUGAGGGAGACCAGCGGAAAGCCUGGGCAGUGGAACGUUGUGUCUCCCUGCUGCUGAAGCCUCCCUUACCUGAAUUGCUUCUGUGGUGGUAGGGCAGUGGGGACACUCGUGGGAGUGUCACCUCCUCAAUUUCCACCACCUGAGGCAGUUGUCUCAUCCUGCAUCAUAGAUGGGCUGGGUCUGCUCUGAGAGAAGGAGGGGAAACCAGUCACACUUGCAGUCAGAAGUCCCAGCUGAGAUUCUUCCACCAAAACACAGCUCACCUGAUGGACAGUUGCAUAGCUGCUGGCAAUCCAUAUUUCCUCCCACACUCCAAUUCAAGUAGUUGAAAAUAAAAUGUGAUGUUAUUGUGUUAGUAUUUUUACACACACACACACACACACACACACACACACACACACACACACACACACACACCAUUUGUUGCUGUUUGCAUAGCAUUUCACACAAGGAGAUGUUGUUCAAUAGCGUUCACAUACCUCUCCACAAUACAUUGCCUGGGCUUGAGACCUAAGAGGUUUGCCUUUCAGAACAGAGUGACAAAGUCGUGCCCUCCAGUUGUUGUGGACUCCAGCCUCAGCCCAGAUGGCAAAUGGUAGAAGUGAUGGGAGUUGUAGCCCAAAAACAUACGGAGUUGGUCACCAUGGCUUAGAUCUAAAAAGAGAAAGUUGCUCAUACAACAGAUCACUCUCAUAUUCAACACCCCCUGCAAUCUCUUACACUCACAAAGCAACAUCACCACUCUGGUUGGUCAAGAGCAGGGUUCCCCAAACUAAGGCCCGUGGGCCGGAUGUGGCCUGUGAGGCUCUUUUAUGCGGCCCCCGGUGACCCUUGCUGCCCGCACUUAACAGCGCGGUGCGUUGCGGCUGCCCACUUCCGGGUGGCUGGAGCGUUGGAAACAGCUUGUGCGCAUGCACAAGCGUCAUUUCCGGCGCACUUCCGGGUUAGAAGAUCAUCGAAAAUACCUUGCAUGCAUGCGCAAGCGUCAUUUCCGGUGCACCUCCGGGUCGGAGGAGGCCCAUGUGAAUGUGCACAAGAUGUUUCCGGCGCUCCUCCAGCCCGGAAGUGCACCGAAAAUAGCACACUCCUGUGCGCUUCCCCCGCCCUCUGGCCCACCGCACAAUCGGUGCAGCGGGCACUGGCCCAAAGCCGGGUAAGUUUGGGGACCCCUGGUCAAGAGCCCCUCCUUGAUGUGUUAUCUUGUGGGAGGCUGCAGUGGGACAACGGAAUUGUCAAGAAUUGGGUGGCAGUGCACAUGGUGCUCCUGCUCACACAAGCUGCCUCUACCCAGUUGUUCAUUAUUCUCUCUCCCACUGACAUGACUCAUAUUAUAUGGGGAGACUUGGGGGGGGGGCAGAGAGGCUUCAGGUAGAAGGAAGGGGUAAGCAGCCCUCUCCUUGUGCAACCUUUCUUAGUGGAGAUGAUGUGCCCUCCAGUCUGUCAUAAGUUGAAAGCUGCCCUAUGCUACUGGUUGACUUUAUAUAAUAAAUAUAGUACCGUAAGUUAGUAAGAAAGCAAAUAAGUGCACAGUGCAAAGUUCUGCAGAGUUCCAUUGCACAAUGAUACCUCAUGUAACCUUUGCCAUUAAUUACAUUUCUGCAAGCUUCUUUAUUCAUGAUGCUUACAUUGUUUUAAUUAAUACUCUAAUGCAGGGGAGCCUAACCCCCAGUUUGAGGGCCUUAUCUCUUACCACCCCGACAGCAAUAUUUUUGGGUUGUAUAAAACACCACCAAUUCUGGUGGCAGUGACAAAAAAGAAAGAAAAGGGCUGAUAAAAUGCUAGGGUGAUUUGAGGCCAACACUCUGAUGGGGAUACAAAUGGUCACCAGAAUGAUAUUGAUGAGAGGAGAGGAGGUGGUAAUGAUGAAAAGGGAGAAGUGUAUAACUCCCUUCCACAGCUGAUCUGCACAAAUCGGCUGAGGAGAGCAGGCUGUGUGACUUUGUUUAUGUCUGUCUGCAAGUCUUCCUGUAUGUAUGUGUAUGCAAGAGUGUGGGGCAGCUACACCUUCGUGUGGCCACAUCCACCACUGGUCAAGUCCCUGGAGGCAAAUGGAAGCGUUGGCCAAGGGUGAAUCUUACCCUCAAGCCAAAACAGUCUAGCCAGUGUCAGUGCAGUACAUGCAAGUCUCAAUUAAUUUCAUUCUUGGGGUACCAGCUAUUUCUCUGAGAACCUUUUAUAACUGAUGCUAUAUUUUAGGCAUUUCUGCCCCCCCCCUUUUGCAUGCAGGGUAUUUGAUAGUGGUGAUGUCAAAUGUAUCAUUUGCAGUUUUUUAGAAAAAGCAGACUAAUACUUUUUCCACAUGGCUCUGUAGCUACGUAACUUAUUUUUUCAUCCUGAAAGAUGUGUUCCCAAAAAUGCUCAUUGUCUCAUGGGUGAUAACAGGGAGAUGGUGAUGAGUGAUUGAUUUUGUUUUUUACUCUGGUACAGCUGUUGGUUUGAUCACAUGCCAAGCACUAAAAACAAUUGUGAUUUAUCCGAUGGAGAGAGUAAGGAAAGAUAGCAUAGCUGUGUGCCACAGUUUUAAUAGAUUGGAAUCUGCACAAUUGAUCAGUUCAGCCAUUUUUGGGGGGGUGGGCAGGCGGGUAGGAAUAGGAGGUCAUGUGUAAGUGUCAUCUGGAAAAGGAAUACACAACCUGCAGCAUUCGUAACAAGAGGUAUGACUGUAUUAGUAUUACAUUAUUUUGAGUUUUGAGUAAACUACCCAAAGCUAGUUGUUAAUGAGUAUUCACUUAAUCUUUAAUCCUAACCCACUUCACUGGAAGUAAGCCCCAUUGAAUUCAGAAGAACUUACUUUUGAAUGGAUGUUUGGUUGUACAUUUUGUCUACUGUGUCUCUUAUUUAGCAAUGGCAAUUAAGUUUAGCAACUUAAUACUUAGAGAAAAAACUGUAUACAACAAAGCCAUGUAAUAGCUUUUGGCCAGUAUGAGCAGAAUAAUAAUAAUAAUAUCUUCAUAUAGAUAUUAAAAAGCAUGGGGGAGAGAACGGAACCCUGAGACACCCCACAAGUGAAAGCCCAGGGGUCUGAACACUCACCCCUCAACACCACUUUCUGGACACGGCCCAGGAGAAAGGAGUGGAACCACUAUAUAACAGUGCCCCCAGCUCCCAGCCCAUCUAGACGGUCCAGAAGGAUGUUAUGGUCAAUGGUGUCAAAGGCCGCUGAGAGAUCCAGCAGAACUAGGAAACAGCUCUCACCUUUGUUCCUAGCUCGCCGGAGAUCAUUGACCAGUUUCAGUCCCAUGGUGAGGCCUGAAUUCCGAUUGGAAGGGAUCCAAAUGGUCCACAUCCUCCAGGCAUGCUUGGAGUUGUUUAGCAACCACUCGCUCAAUCACCUUGCCCAAGAAUGGUAGAUUUGAGACUGGGCAAUAGUUGGCCAUAUUGGCCAUAUUGGCCGGGUCUAAAGAUAUUUUUUUAAGAAGCGGUUUAAUCACCAUCUCUUUCAGCGGGUCUGGAAGGCUCCUUUGCAGAGGGAAGCAUUCACCACCCCGCAGAGCCACCACCUACCCAGCCCUUCCCGGCUCGAUUUUAUUAGCCAGGAUGGGCAAGGAUCAAGGAGACAGGUGAUCGGUUUCACUCGUCCAAGCAGCCUGUCCUCAUCCUCGGAGGUAACAGAUUGGAAUUGAUCCCAUGUAACAUGACUAGACAGGAUUCUAGCACUCCCGCCUCAGCCCUGCUGCUCCCACAGUGGAGUCUACCUCCUUCCGAAUCUGAGCUACUUUAUCUGCAAAAAAAACUUUGCAAAAACAUUGCAGGAGAUCUUGGGGUCCCUACCAGGCCCCGGUGACAAAGGUAGUUCUGAUAGAUUAUGAACCACCUGAAAAUAUAUUUACUGAUCACAUAGAAUAAAGCUUUAGCUUAAAGUCAGGAUCCUUCCUUUCAUUUGCAGCUGUGCUUUGAUUACUACGACUUCUCGUCUCAAAUCAGCUAUCCUGUUCUGUUCAAUCACAUUUAAGCUCAUGUAUUUGUGCGUAUGUGUGUUAAAGUAUCUUUGACAUCCUGCAGAAUUGUAUAACAAAUCUGAUGCUGGACAUAAGACUAGACAUAUAAUAGCUCUAAGUCCUUUAUGUGGAAACAAUGUUUUAUUGUGACCAGUGCGAUUUAUUUCUGUAAUCUAGACUUUCAUGUACACAGGACAUACUCUGACAUUUCCUAAUCUAUACAGUGGUUGUUGCCUUAUGAAAGAGAACAGAAGCAUGUGUGUUGCAGAGGAUGUGACUCCAGUCCCUGGGUUUUAGUUGUUUUAUGAUUAGUAAUUAUUAUGUUAAAAAAUUAAAACUGCCUUGGGUGCCUUGGCAAAAAGGUGCUGUGUAAAUUCAAUAAAUAAAUAUAAUAUCCGUUAAGAAGAAUAAUUAUUAUAUAAUAACUGUAGUAGUAAAAUGUGACAUCCUUACUGUAAACAAUUAUAUAGGUAUAAGUACCAGAGAUCAGGGCCAAGUGAGAUGAGGCAGUUGCCUCCGGUAGCAGAUUUAAACCUGAGGAGUGUGCCUCGUUCCACCCCCCUCCACUGCAUCCCACCCCGAUUGCAGUGGCAGUAGGGCAGAGCAGGAGGAGGCUGUGGUGUGCUGCUUGGGCCUGGAUCUGCUGCCUGAAGCAACUGCCCCUCUCUGGCCUCCUUUUCACCUUUCUUUUCUUGGACUGUCUCCAUGUGGUAAGCAGGGUAGCGAGUGGAGGCGGCGGCAGUGAUUUGGGCAGGGCGGGAUGUGUGUGUGUGGCCUUAAGCGACAAGUGUAUUAUUUCGCCACCUGAUUUAGCUCAUUGUUCCUCUGAUGCUUCUGUAGUGUGUUUAACCUGUGUGGCUACAAGAGGAAAACCCACAAAUUCCUCUGCCAGGGGACUAUAGAAUUGCUCCCCAAACUUUGUUUAUGAUAGUAUGUAGCUUAUGAAUUGGUAGUGAAAUUUAAUGACUGCUGCAAUUUUAAAUUAAGUAUACAACAUAAAGUCAUGCUCAGAGUGAAAUUAAUGGAUUUAAGUUGCAGCAAAUUCUUCUUUUUUAAUUAAUUUUUAUUACUUUUCCAUACAUCACAAAACCACCAAAACCAAUACGACAAAAUAAAUACAGAUACAAAAUUAAGUACCACAUUUUUCUUGUCUAUUUUUACAUUCUUCUUUCUCCCCCCCAAAAAAAGAAAAGAAAAAGAAAAAGAAAUAUACCAUUGUGACUUCCUGUCAUUACCCAUUGCAUAUACUUUCUCUUUCAGUUGAAUGUACUCAAAAUAUUUGCCUUUCCUAUAACCAUUUAUCUAAUACAUUCUGUAACACUAUCUCUCCUUCCUUUAAUAAUUCAGCUUCGUAUUCUUCCUUGAUCACUCGAAUGCUAGCAUGGAAACAGUAGGAUAUGUUUCCACUCGAAUGCUAUCACUCGAAUGCUAGCAUGGAAACAGUAGCAAAUUCAUAGGAUAUCAUCCAAUGUAACUAAAACAGUAGGUGAUAUCCAACUAAGUCACACUCAAAAUAGACCCAUUGGUUUCAGCUGUCUACUGUACGUAUGACUAACACAGAAUACUAGUGUACAUAGUCUUUAUUUUCUAUGGACUCUGAUGUAGUAAAUAUUUUUUAAUCAAUUCUUAUUAGAUUUUCACUUACAAAUCAAUCAUAUCAAACCAAUUAUUCCAAAUUAUACAAAUAUAUAUCUAUUAAACCAAAUAUUAUGCCAGAUUAUAAACAUUUUACUUCCCCAUGCUUCAAAUUCUGAGGGUUCUGAGUAUCGAUAAUGGCUGCCAUUCUAAUCAAAGUUCCAAGUUCUUUCCAAACCUUUUAAUCCAACAUAGUCCAGAUCUUUCCAACAGCCUCUGAAAUGUUUUCAGGUGAGAUUUACCACAAAGCCUAUGUUUUCUGUCCAGCUUCCCCAUAAAUCCUUGCAUUCUCCUUCCAUACUGGAAUAUCUUCCAAGCUGCGCCGUUUGUCACGGACCUAUGCCCAUUUAAAGAUUCAAUAAGUCAUGUCCAGGCUUCUGCUUGUUAAUUCCUCCGGUCGCGGAUUUGCAGUCUUUCCAGGCAGGUUCAGCCAAAUCCAGAUAUUAACACACAUCUUAUAACAAACCUAUGGCUCCCCCGCCCUUUGACUGCUUUUCACUCCCCAGCCUCCAUUUUUAGCGAGCUCAAUUAAAAGUGCGUCACAAGUCAAAAAUCUUCUUAAAAUCAUCCACAAAGAAUUUUAACAAGCUCCAGCCGUUGAUAUAACCACCCUAGGGAAGCUUUCAUCUUAUAGGUUUAUCUAAACAAAUUCAAAUAAAUCCUCUAUUGUAUAUAUUUCAAUGUCUACACAGUUUAUAUUUUUAUAACUUCUCGCUUGUUCUAGGUACUUUAGACAAUCCAUCCAGGGAAGGUGUUAAGUGUAAUCUUGAAACAUAAAAAUGUUUCUGUUCGGUCCAACGUAGUAUUUUCUUUAAUACAAUAUUUCCUCGACUCUUUUAUCAUUCAAAGGCUGGAUUUUCUGGCAGUGUCCUCCUCCUCUUCAUUUGAAGCAUGUCCAUGAAUUUAAAUCCAAUUAUUCCUCUUAAAUCAUGGACUCGUGCACGAACAGGGUGGUCUCCAGGAGUUCCGACCCCCACGGGUGCUUGGCCCAGGCCCCCACCCCCACCCCCCGAAGGUCCAGAGUGGGUUAAGGGGCAUCCGCGGGCCAGCGGCCCCUCCCAUCAUCCUGGGAGGGUGGGGAGACUGCCUACUCCCCAAAGCAGCCGCCAAAUUUUCCCAUGGGAGUUGGGAGAGAUGUUACGGGUCAGCCAUUUCUCCCGAUGAGCACGAGUGGAAGCUGUAGUAAAUAUAUUUUGAUAUAGUACAGACUGAAGAAUUAAAAUGUCAAGACAUUUCUAAUUCCUAGGUGACUAGUUUAUAAAUAAAAUAAAUUAUAAUUCUGAACAAUACUUUUUUAGGUGUUAUGUGGUCUGUCGCUAAAUCACGUAGUGUCUUCUGCUUAAUAGGAGGAAUUUUAUUUAUUUUGUUUAUUUAGUACAAGUCAACAGACUUGUUCUUGGUAUAAUCUGAUAGUAGCUUCUUAAA
Molecule: non-coding RNA, 18404 nt
Organism: Zootoca vivipara (common lizard)
Lineage: Eukaryota; Metazoa; Chordata; Lepidosauria; Squamata; Lacertidae
Source: RefSeq, a predicted model, not a curated record